Musca domestica (house fly) is the source of this 1049-nucleotide long non-coding RNA. RefSeq lists it as uncharacterized. The transcript has 3 exons. Lineage: Eukaryota; Metazoa; Arthropoda; Insecta; Diptera; Muscidae. The record is from RefSeq and is a predicted model, not a curated record.
UGAAAUUUAAAUCGGACGAAAAUAUAUAUGGGAGCAUCGAAAUCUUAAUCGAUUGCCAGAUAAACUUCCACACUGAACCUGGCUGCGUGUACCUAAAUUGAUUUGAUUCGGGCGGAUAUUACGCAUUUGUAUUGUAUUGUGCACUACUUAUGUAUUGUGCACUACUUAUGAAAUCGGACGACACUAUGUAUGGGAGAUAGAGCUGCAAAACUAUCGAUAGUAUCGAUAGAUAUCUUUUUUGAGGACUAUCGAUGGGGUUUUUCACUAUCGAUACUAUCGACAAAUUUGAACAAGGUAGCUUGUAUCAGUCUUUUUCACAGGCCGUCUGUACAUUUUUAUAUUUUAAUACAAAUAAGUAAUGUGAACAGACGCUAGCAAUCACAAACACAAGUUUAUUAGGAAAUUGAAGGCUUAAGAGAAAUGGAGAGGUAUCUGCAAAUAUUAAAUGAAAGUCCCAACGAAAAUACUGAGGAAGACAGUGAUGAUGGGGAACCUAUUCCCAAAAAGACCCGUAAGCAAUCUUCGGAUGUUUGGACGUAUUUUGAAGCGGUUAAGGAAAAAAUUGUGCUAAAUGCCGUUUAUGUGGAAAUUUUUAUAAAACCAGCGGCAAUACAACGAAUCUAUUCGACCACCUUAAAAGAUCACAUCCGGGCUUCAAAGAAGUUGAAAAACCGACCAAUGUCAUCACGUCUUAUUUAAAACAAAAAGACACAUACGGCUUAGAAUCGGAGCGCAAGAGGAAUCUGGAUAAUGCUCUUAUGUUCAUGGUAGCUAUCGACGUGCAGCCGUUUAGCAUAGUGGAAGAUAGAGGUUAUAGAGAUUUCCUACUCUUUACCAUCACGUACGACACUACAAAAUAAAAUGAUGGUUGAAAUGUAUAACGCGCAAAAAAAUUAGCUACAUUCGAUUUUAAAUGAAAUAGAGCACUGUGCAAUCACAACAGACUGUUGGACCUCCCGUUCAAAUGAGGGUUAUCUGACAGUUACUUGCCACUUUAUUACAGAGGAUUUUUGUUUGCGUAAAACUUCUAACGGCUACUAACCACAACG